UGGCGGACGGGUGAGUAAUGUCUGGGAAACUGCCCGAUGGAGGGGGAUAACUACUGGAAACGGUAGCUAAUACCGCAUAACGUCGCAAGACCAAAGAGGGGGACCUUAGGGCCUCUUGCCAUCGGAUGUGCCCAGAUGGGAUUAGCUAGUAGGUGGGGUAAUGGCUCACCUAGGCGACGAUCCCUAGCUGGUCUGAGAGGAUGACCAGCCACACUGGACUGAGACACGGUCCAG
RNAcentral lists this ribosomal RNA (234 nucleotides) under uncultured bacterium. RNAcentral describes it as "partial 16S ribosomal RNA". It matches the Rfam family "Bacterial small subunit ribosomal RNA", at positions 96 to 334 of the family's 1533-position model. The record is from RNAcentral.